ACCCGCUGAACUUAAGCAUAUCAAUAAGCGGAGGAAAAGAAACUAACAAGGAUUCCCCUAGUAACUGCGAGUGAAGCGGGAAAAGCUCAAAUUUAAAAUCUGGCGGUCCCUGUGGCCGUCCGAGUUGUAAUUUAGAGAAGUGUUAUCCGCGCUGGACCGUGUACAAGUCUCCUGGAACGGAGCGUCAUAGAGGGUGAGAAUCCCGUCUUUGACACGGACUGCCAGGGCUCUGUGAUGCGCUCUCGAAGAGUCGAGUUGUUUGGGAAUGCAGCUCAAAAUGGGUGGUAAAUUCCAUCUAAAGCUAAAUAUUGGGGAGAGACCGAUAGCGAACAAGUACCGUGAGGGAAAGAUGAAAAGAACUUUGGAAAGAGAGUUAAACAGUACGUGAAAUUGCUGAAAGGGAAACGCUUGAAGUCAGUCGCGUUGCUCAGGAUUCAGCCUUGCUUCUGCUUGGUGUACUUCCUGUUCGACGGGUCAACAUCAAUUUUGGCCGGUGGAUAAAGGCACAGAGAAUGUGGCAUCUUCGGGUGUGUUAUAGCUCUGGGUCGCAUACAUCGGCUGGGAUUGAGGAACUCAGCACGCCGCAAGGCCGGGUACUUGUACCACGUACGUGCUUAGGAUGUUGGCAUAAUGGCUUUAAUCGACCCGUCUUGAAACACGG
RNAcentral lists this ribosomal RNA (661 nucleotides) under uncultured fungus. Its description in RNAcentral is "eukaryotic LSU rRNA". It matches the Rfam family "Eukaryotic large subunit ribosomal RNA", at positions 23 to 664 of the family's 3401-position model. Lineage: Eukaryota; Fungi. The record is from RNAcentral.